Molecule: ribosomal RNA, 468 nt
Filed under: uncultured bacterium
Lineage: Bacteria
Description: partial 16S ribosomal RNA
Rfam family: Bacterial small subunit ribosomal RNA
Source: RNAcentral
GACGAACGCUGGCGGCGUGCUUAGCACAUGCAAGUCGAACGGAAAGGCCCUGCUUUUGUGGGGUGCUCGAGUGGCGAACGGGUGAGUAACACGUGAGUAACCUGCCCUUGACUUUGGGAUAACUUCAGGAAACUGGGGCUAAUACCGGAUAGGAGCUCCUGCUGCAUGGUGGGGGUUGGAAAGUUUCGGCGGUUGGGGAUGGACUCGCGGCUUAUCAGCUUGUUGGUGGGGUAGUGGCUUACCAAGGCUUUGACGGGUAGCCGGCCUGAGAGGGUGACCGGCCACAUUGGGAAUGAGAUACGGCCCAGACUCCCACGGGAGGCAACAGGGGGGAAUAUUGCACAAUGGGCGGAAGCCUGAUGCAGCAACGCCGCGUGCGGGAUGACGGCCUUCGGGGUGUAAACCGCUUUCGCCUGUGACGAAGCGGGAGUGACGGUAAUGGGGAAAGAAGCACCGGCUAACUACGUG